This 119-nucleotide ribosomal RNA is filed under the name Sinocyclocheilus anshuiensis. The record is from RNAcentral. Lineage: Eukaryota; Metazoa; Chordata; Actinopteri; Cypriniformes; Cyprinidae.
GCUUACAGCCAUACCACACUGUCUGAGUCCAAUCUUGUCUGAUCUCGGAAGCUAAGCAGGCUUGGUCCUGGUUAGUACUUGUAUGGGAGACUGCCUGGGAAUACCAGGUGCUGUAAGCU